AGGGUUUGAUCAUGGCUCAGAACGUACGCUGGCGGCACGCCUAACACAUGCAAGUCGAACGAAGUAGCAAUACUUAGUGGCAGACGGGUGAGUAACAUGUGGGUAUCUGCCCUUUGGCCUGGAAUAACACGAGGAAACUUGUGCUAAUACUGGAUAAGUCUUUACGGAGAAAGCUUUAUGCACCAUUGGAUGAGCCCGCACUUGAUUAGUUUGUUGGUGGGGUAAUGGCCUACCAAGACUUUGAUCAAUAGCUGAUUUGAGAGGAUGAUCAGCCACAUUGGGACUGAGACACGGCCCAAACUCCUACGGGAGGCAGCAGUGGGGAAUCUUGCACAAUGGAGGAAACUCUGAUGCAGCGAUGCCGCGUGAGUGAAGAAGGCCCUUGGGUUGUAAAGCUCUUUCGUCGGGGAAGAAAAUGACUGUACCCGAAUAAGAAGGUCCGGCUAACUUCGUGCCAGCAGCCGCGGUAAUACGAAGGGACCUAGCGUAGUUCGGAAUUACUGGGCUUAAAGAGUUCGUAGGUGGUUGAAAAAGUUGGUGGUGAAAUCCCAGAGCUUAACUCUGGAACUGCCAUCAAAACUUUUCAGCUAGAGUUUGAUAGAGGAAAGCAGAAUUUCUAGUGUAGAGGUGAAAUUCGUAGAUAUUAGAAAGAAUACCAAUUGCGAAGGCAGCUUUCUGGAUCAUUACUGACACUGAGGAACGAAAGCAUGGGUAGCGAAGAGGAUUAGAUACCCUCGUAGUCCAUGCCGUAAACGAUGUGUGUUAGACGUUGGAAAUUUAUUUUCAGUGUCGCAGCGAAAGCGAUAAACACACCGCCUGGGGAGUACGACCGCAAGGUUAAAACUCAAAUGAAUUGACGGGGACCCGCACAAGUAGUGGAGCAUGUGGUUUAAUUCGAAGAUACGCGCAGAACCUUACCAACACUUGACAUGUUCGUCGCGACUUUAAGAGAUUAAAGUUUUCGGUUCGGCCGGACGAAACACAGGUGCUGCAUGGCUGUCGUCAGCUCGUGUCGUGAGAUGUUGGGUUAAGUCCCGCAACGAGCGCAACCCCUACUUUUAGUUGCCACCAUUUAGUUGGGCACUUUAAAAGAACUGCCAGUGAUAAGCUGGAGGAAGGUGGGGAUGACGUCAAGUCCUCAUGGCCCUUACGUGUUGGGCUACACACGUGCUACAAUGGCACUUACAAUGGGAAGCAAAGAGGUGACUCCUAGCUAAUCCCAAAAAUGUGUCUCAGUUCGGAUUGCACUCUGCAACUCGAGUGCAUGAAGCUGGAAUUGCUAGUAAUCGCGAAUCAGCGCGUCGCGGUGAAUACGUUCCCGGGUCUUGUACACACCGCCCGUCACACCAUGGAAGUUGGUUACACCUUAAGGCAAAUCGUCAACCUUCGGGAGACAUUUGACUACGGUACGAUCAGCAACUGGGGUGAAGUCGUAACAAGGUAGCCGUA
Molecule: ribosomal RNA, 1449 nt
Filed under: uncultured bacterium
Lineage: Bacteria
Description: 16S ribosomal RNA
Rfam family: Bacterial small subunit ribosomal RNA
Source: RNAcentral